UAGGGAAUAUUGGACAAUGGGCGCAAGCCUGAUCCAGCCAUGCCGCGUGAGUGAAGAAGGCCCUCGGGUUGUAAAGCUCUUUUGUCCGGAAAGAAAAGCAUCGGGUUAAUACCCCGGUGUUCUGACGGUACCGGAAGAAUAAGCCCCGGCUAACUUCGUGCCAGCAGCCGCGGUAAUACGAGGGGGGCUAGCGUUGCUCGGAAUCACUGGGCGUAAAGGGUGCGUAGGCGGGUUUCUAAGUCAGAGGUGAAAGCCUGGAGCUCAACUCCAGAACUGCCUUUGAUACUGGAAGUCUUGAGUUCGGGAGAGGUGAGUGGAACUGCGAGUAUAGAGGUGAAAUUCGUAGAUAUUCGCAAGAACACCAGUGGCGAAGGCGGCUCACUGACCCGAUACUGACGCUGAGGCACGAAAGCGUGGGGAGCAAACA
Molecule: ribosomal RNA, 427 nt
Filed under: uncultured bacterium
Lineage: Bacteria
Description: bacterial SSU rRNA
Rfam family: Bacterial small subunit ribosomal RNA
Source: RNAcentral